UACGUAGGGGGCGAGCGUUGUCCGGAUUUAUUGGGCGUAAAGAGCGUGUAGGCGGUUUGUUAAGUCUACGGUGAAAUCCUGGGGCUCAACCCUGGGCGUGCAGUUGAUACUGCCGGGCUAGAGGGUGGUAGAGGCGAGUAGAAUUCCGAGUGUAGCGGUGAAAUGCGCAGAUAUUCGGAGGAACACCAGUAGCGAAGGCGGCUCGCUGGGCCACACCUGACGCUGAGACGCGAAAGCGUGGGGAGCGAACAGG
RNAcentral lists this ribosomal RNA (253 nucleotides) under uncultured bacterium. Its description in RNAcentral is "partial 16S ribosomal RNA". It matches the Rfam family "Bacterial small subunit ribosomal RNA", at positions 524 to 776 of the family's 1533-position model. The record is from RNAcentral.